Molecule: transfer RNA, 77 nt
Filed under: Escherichia phage JLBYU32
Lineage: Duplodnaviria; Heunggongvirae; Uroviricota; Caudoviricetes; Andersonviridae
Description: tRNA-Ile
Rfam family: tRNA
About the family: Transfer RNA (tRNA) molecules are approximately 80 nucleotides in length. Their secondary structure includes four short double-helical elements and three loops (D, anti-codon, and T loops).
Source: RNAcentral
UUGUGGGUUAGCAUAAAUGGUAAUGCAAACGGCUGAUAACCGUUAGAAGAGGGUUCGAUACCCUCACCUACAACCAA